AACCUUAUGGACCUGCGGGCGUAUACCUGCGGAAGGAUCAUUACAAGUGACCCCGGUCUAACCACCGGGAUGUUCAUAACCCUUUGUUGUCCGACUCUGUUGCCUCCGGGGCGACCCUGCCUUCGGGCGGGGGCUCCGGGUGGACACUUCAAACUCUUGCGUAACCUUGCAGUCUGAGUAAACUUAAUUAAUAAAUUAAAACUUUCAACAACGGAUCU
RNAcentral lists this unclassified non-coding RNA (218 nucleotides) under soil metagenome. RNAcentral's name for it is "partial contains 5.8S ribosomal RNA, internal transcribed spacer 2, and large subunit ribosomal RNA". The record is from RNAcentral.